CGAGAACAUUUCAGGCAAAGGCAAAUCAAGGGCAUGUCUGCGACUUAUAAAAUGCCUAAUUAUAGUAGUGUGCUCCAUGAGGGGCAAGUCUUUUGCUAACGCUACAUGGGUCUCUGGCCCAAUGAGCGGAGUUAGUGAUUCUUGCUACAAAU
Molecule: small nucleolar RNA, 152 nt
Organism: Panthera tigris altaica (Amur tiger)
Lineage: Eukaryota; Metazoa; Chordata; Mammalia; Carnivora; Felidae
Source: Ensembl